Long non-coding RNA from Ictalurus punctatus (channel catfish), 716 nucleotides. RefSeq lists it as uncharacterized. Lineage: Eukaryota; Metazoa; Chordata; Actinopteri; Siluriformes; Ictaluridae. The record is from RefSeq and is a predicted model, not a curated record. The transcript has 4 exons.
CCAGCCAAUGACGGAAACACACGUGUCCCAAUGUCACUACGGUCAACAGCGGAAAAGCAGGUGCUCGCGCAUUCGCGCUUAGAGCACGCUGCUUCAAGGGGGAAUCGUGACAACCCCGUUGUUGAUGAUUUUACGAUAACAUUCUUGUGCGUGUGUGUUGACGAGAGAGUCAGCUGCCGGGAUGCCCAUGGGAACCCAUUGGGGAAAGUGCAGUACAGGGAUAUGGACGUGAUAGACGUGAUAUGGACGUAAUAGCUGAUGAAGUACUGGAGAUCUCCUGCAGGAGAAAAAAGAAGUGCAGAUCUGGGUUUAUAAGGUGGAGUUUCAUGUAAAUGAGGGGGCUUUAGCGUCACCAUUGGUCCAUUACAGCUCCUCUUCUAGCCAAUCAAUCGAAGAGGGGAGGUGACGUCACUCCAUUGCGACUCAUGGCUGUGUUGACAGGUGAAGAAAGAUGGAUGACCGUCAGGCAGCAAAUCCCGGACAAUUACAGGCAGUGCUUUUAGAGAGGCUUUUAUCACGACUACAGGAAGCCAUGCAGCGCGUGCCUCUGGACCUGGAUUAUUUAUAUUUUUUCUGCACAAAUAGCAUGAUAUUGAUUAGUGCACACACAAAUCAUGAACAUAUGCCUCAAGAGGUAGUGCAAUGUCUUUAAAACCUGUGUUCUGUUCUUUGUAAUCGACUUUCCUCAUCAGUUGUGAAUGAAAUGGCUGGACCAA